RNAcentral lists this ribosomal RNA (840 nucleotides) under uncultured fungus. RNAcentral describes it as "SSU rRNA". It matches the Rfam family "Eukaryotic small subunit ribosomal RNA", at positions 626 to 1518 of the family's 1831-position model. The record is from RNAcentral. Lineage: Eukaryota; Fungi.
GCUCGUAGUUGGACCUUGGGCGUGGGGGCCGGGUUGGCCGCAAGGCACGACUCGGAACUCUUGCCUCUUUGGGGGACUCGUCGUUCUGCGGCGAGGUAACCCGGGUUACUGUGAAGAAAUUAGAGUGUUUAAAGCAGGCGUUUGCUUGAAUACAUCAGCAUGGAAUAACAAGAUAGGACUUUGUUCUACUUGUUGGUUUGGGAACUAUAGUAAUGAUUAAUAGGGCCAGUUGGGGGCAUUAGUAUUCAGUAGUCAGAGGUGAAAUUCUUGGAUUUACUGAAGACUAACUAGUGCGAAAGCAUUUGCCAAGGAUGUUUUCAUUAAUCAAGAACGAAAGUUAGGGGAUCGAAGACGAUCAGAUACCGUCGUAGUCUUAACUAUAAACGAUGCCGACUCGGGAUCGGCAGAAGUCGUUUGCGACUCUGUCGGCACCGUGUGAGAAAUCAAAGUUUUUGGGUUCUGGGGGGAGUAUGGUCGCAAGGCUGAAACUUAAAGGAAUUGACGGAAGGGCACCACCAGGAGUGGAGCCUGCGGCUUAAUUUGACUCAACACGGGAAAACUCACCAGGUCCGGACAUAGUAAGGAUUGACAGAUUGAGAGCUCUUUCUUGAUUCUGUGGGUGGUGGUGCAUGGCCGUUCUUAGUUGGUGGAGUGAUUUGUCUGGUUAAUUCCGAUAACGAACGAGACCUUAACCUGCUAACUAGUUGGCGGUAUGAGAAUACUGUCCGCUUCUUAGAGGGACUGACUAUGUUUAAUAGUCGGAAGUUUGAGGCAAUAACAGGUCUGUGAUGCCCUUAGAUGUUCUGGGCUGCACGCGCGCUACACUGACAGAGCCAGCGA